GGAGGCUCAGCUAUCCCUUGGAAGCAGCCUUCCAGCCACUUGGAAGGGGGCUGCCUGGAACAAGGGCCCCCUCUGCCCCAUGGGAGGAUCUAUGCCCCAACCCAGGCCCCUGGGGGUUAGGGGCUCUCCUUCGCCCAGCUCUGUGAGGCCAAGUUCUACAACAGUCUUCGGGGGCCAGAAGACACAUUCUCAGACUCCUGUUGCACAGCCUGGGUCUCAACACAGACUACUUGGAAUCUCAGUGCUAUUGAGAUGUAUAUAUCUUCAUUCUAAAGUGAUGCUUAACACAAUGGAUUGACCUUAUUGAUUCC
This 311-nucleotide long non-coding RNA is filed under the name Mustela putorius furo (domestic ferret). RNAcentral describes it as "lncRNA (ENSMPUG00000031984.1)". The record is from RNAcentral. Lineage: Eukaryota; Metazoa; Chordata; Mammalia; Carnivora; Mustelidae.